RNAcentral lists this long non-coding RNA (800 nucleotides) under Androctonus crassicauda. Lineage: Eukaryota; Metazoa; Arthropoda; Arachnida; Scorpiones; Buthidae. The record is from RNAcentral.
UAUAUAAUUUAAUAAAUAUAUACUAAAAUUUAAAUAUCCUGCAUUUCAAUUUUCCUUCACAAUCGGCACGAACUUUCCAAACAACCCAAUAUAAUCUUAGCUUUCUCUAUACUUCUUACAAUACUGUAUUCUGCAUGAAGGUCUGUGGGAAUCUCCUCCCCCACAUAUCUGACGAUGGAAAUUAGAGAGAGAGAAGUGUAUCGAGAUGAAGAUAUUAAUAAAUCACUGUCCAAAAUUCGUGUUUCUGAUUUCUUAUCUGUCGAUUGCUAUGCUGUAAACAAAAACUUUUUCAGGAUUAAGUCAAUAAAGAGAGAUUCGAGUUAGAGGAGCGAUACUUUGCCAUAGCGAUCCCGCUAAUGGUAAGAGAGAAGAGGAAAAAAAAAGAGUCCAAUUCCGUUAUAAGUACGAAAGCAGACGUUAGACGGGAUAUGGAUCUGCCGUUAGAAGUGGAUUAUAAAAUUUUGUCCAAUAAUUCCGAAAUGCAAUGGUCGAAAUUCAAUUCGGAAGGAUUAGGAACCUGCCACCCCAUAAAAUCCUGUACUGUACGCUUUUUUACUCCAGAAAAUCUUCAGUAAUGUAGGCAGAAAAAAUUAGUCAAGAUGAGCGUGAUAAACUAUUCGAGAAGUUGACCACAAGAUGAAGGGUUGGUUUAUCGUUAGUUACUACUGGAGAUAGUAAUUAAUAAUAAUUAUAAAAGUUUAACUACUCUGGUUGGUGUGUGUAUGAAAUUCAGCGCAUUUUCUCUCUCUCUCUCUCUCUCUCGUCUUCAUGAUGAUGAUCGGUCUAGGAAGGAUAGGUAU